CCUACGGGAGGCAGCAGUGGGGAAUUUUGGACAAUGGGCGCAAGCCUGAUCCAGCCAUGCCGCGUGCGGGAAGAAGGCCUUCGGGUUGUAAACCGCUUUUGUCAGGGAAGAAAAGGCUCUAGUUAAUACCUGGAGCUGCUGACGGUACCUGAAGAAUAAGCACCGGCUAACUACGUGCCAGCAGCCGCGGUAAUACGUAGGGUGCAAGCGUUAAUCGGAAUUACUGGGCGUAAAGCGUGCGCAGGCGGCGAUGCAAGACAGAGGUGAAAUCCCCGGGCUCAACCUGGGAACUGCCUUUGUGACUGCAUGGCUAGAGUACGGCAGAGGGGGAUGGAAUUCCACGUGUAGCAGUGAAAUGCGUAGAUAUGUGGAGGAACACCGAUGGCGAAGGCAAUCCCCUGGGCCUGUACUGACGCUCAUGCACGAAAGCGUGGGGAGCAAACAGGAUUAGAUACCCUGGUAGUCCACGCCCUAAACGAUGUCAACUGGUUGUUGGGAGGGUUUCUUCUCAGUAACGUAGCUAACGCGUGAAGUUGACCGCCUGGGGAGUACGGCCGCAAGGUUGAAACUCAAAUGAAUUGACGG
This 585-nucleotide ribosomal RNA is filed under the name uncultured bacterium. RNAcentral describes it as "bacterial SSU rRNA". It matches the Rfam family "Bacterial small subunit ribosomal RNA", at positions 338 to 916 of the family's 1533-position model. The record is from RNAcentral.